Long non-coding RNA from Cyprinus carpio (common carp), 1015 nucleotides. The record is from Ensembl. NCBI's taxonomy places the organism in Eukaryota, Metazoa, Chordata, Actinopteri, Cypriniformes, Cyprinidae.
UCUGUAUAUUUAUUGUACAUUUGUAACAUAUUGUAGACACUGUAUAUUCUGUACUUACUGCUUAUUGCACUUCUUGUUAGAUGCUAACUGCAUUUCAUUGCCUUGUACCUUACAUGUGCAAUGACAAUAAAGUUUAAUCUAAUCUAAAGUUGAAUCUAAUCUAAAACAUUAAAACAUGCCCUAUUUCAGUAGUAUUCUCACAAGGUUUCAACAUUAUAUAUGUAAACAUUACUUGCUGAUUUUGUCUCUGUAAAUUUACAUCCAGAUCCACACGGAUACCAGAAAGUGGCGUGACAUUUCUAUAUCAAUUUAAAAAAGAUUAGUUAUAUUCUGUUGUGCUCAACAUUGUGCCACAAACCUCAUAAAUAGAGAUAAACAUCUAUUGAACCCGGAACAUCCCUUUAAAUACGAUAAACAAUUAACUUUUUAUCUGAAGCACUAUAAAUCAAGCACAAAGGACAGUAAAUCAGGACACUAUAAAAAGAGCAUGAGGGUCUGUGAGGAUGACAGAGCAAGAGCUGAACAUCAGUGAAGAAUGAAGGGUUUGUUAUGUACACUGCUGCUGCUGGAAACCUUUGUGUUUGUGGUACAGCAGCAGGUAGAUGGAGGACUCUCUGAGAAUGAGAUCAGUCAACAGCUCAGCACUGAGGACAGAAGACAGAAUCCAGCUCAGACAGACACUCGGAGAGAUGAAUCUGACAGCCAACAAUACUGCCAUCUGAGCUUCCCUGACAUCCACGCAGCACUGAGAGAACUGACCGCCACCGUCACAGAGCAGAAAGCCAACAUCAGAGCCUUAGAGACACGACUGAAGGAGCAACAGAUGUUUAUCCUGGAAGAGCUGAACAAGAAAAAUGAUGCCUUAGAGACACGACUGAGGGACUCAGAGAAAACUGCAGAACAACAGACGGUCAUCCUGGAAGACCUGAACAAGAAAACUGAUGGUAUCUUACCAGAACAUUCACUCUUUUAUCAGCUGUCCAUCUGGAAAACACUAAUGCAAUACACUGCAUAG